CCCCCCCCCCCCAACCGCCCGCACCCUCCUCGCCCGCACCGCGGCCGGCCGGAACCCCAGCCUCGCGCCUAAGGCCCGGGGAGAGGAGCAGAGGGUGUGCGGAUGCCCUGGGUCCCCCCUUCCAUCUGCCGAGGCGUGAGAGAUCCGGAGUGGACCCACCGCAGCAACUAGGGAAGGGGAAGGGGACUGGGAGAGGGGAGGACGCGAUGGAGGUAGGUGUAGGUUUGACGUCCCGGGCCGCCGAGAGGACUCUGCCUCGGACUGGGGCCACCAGGGUGGCGUCAAGGAGCGGAGGGCACCGACCACUGCAGAUGCGGCGCGUGUGCGCGCGGCGAAAGCGCCCCCUUCUCCCGGGAUCCAAACGGAUAAACGGAAGUGUGGGUGAGUGUGGGGGUGCGAAUCGCCACCUCGGCCUUGGCUUUCCCGCUCUUCCGAGCGCUCCCACUUCUCACUUUCCCCAAAUCCGCAUUUUCCUUGGCACUGCUCUUCGGAGCACCGAGGAGAGGGAGGUGCCCGGGAGCAGUGAGAAUGACGUGUGCUGGUGCAGAGGGGGUGGGGGGCUGCGGGCCGGGCUCUGUGGACCGGCUCCUAAUCCUCUUGUUUUCGGAACUGUCAGCAGAUGUGGCUUCUCUUAGCUGAAUAAUCCUUUAAAGGAAUAAUAAUUUUUAAAAAGGACAUCGACCUCACCCAAGGAAGACUGUGAACGAGAUCAGGGCUUGUAGAUCUACUGCCUUUGGAUGCGCUGGCUGAAACGCUGCGGACUGCAACCAGGCUCUUAAAAAGGAGAACAAAAAGAUGAAGACCUUGGGCGGACGCCGGGACAAAGCACCUUGCGCUCCGGAGAAGGGACGCGCUCUGGAACACUAGUUAUCUCCUCGGCCGGAGGGCGCCUGCCGGGCGUGCGGACCUCUGAGGGAUCCUGCCACAUUAUAUACGAGUGACCUUUUAAAUCUACGCCCACCCUUUACCCGCGAGAGGACUGCAGCAGGCGAGUUCCGGAAGGCUGAUUCCCCAGAUCCCGACCCCGGACCGUGGCAGUUCGCCCCUCUGGCACGCCCGGCCAAACUGUGCCUGGACUCAGCGAUCAAGGAAAAAGCCUGGAAACGAAAGGAUGCGGGAGAACAAAGAGCCUUCGGAAGACGUCGCUGUUAUCUCAUUGUCUGUGUGAUUGGGGGAGCUGCGGUAGGGAGGAUGCUGUGGUCCUGUCCUCCCGGCGCUCCCCCACCCCCACCCCUCUCCCUGCUGUCAGUGCGCACGCACACGCGCCGCUUUUUAUUUCUCUUUCCUGGUUUUCUCAUUCCAUCUUCUCCCCAUCCCCUUCCUUUCUUUCACCUUUCCUUCCUUCCUCAGGAGAAAGGCCUCUCUCUCCGUGUUCACAGCGGACCUUGAUUUAAAUGUCCAUACAAUUAAGGCACGC
This is a long non-coding RNA of Marmota monax (woodchuck), 1417 nucleotides long. RefSeq lists it as uncharacterized. The transcript is spliced from 5 exons. The record is from RefSeq and is a predicted model, not a curated record. Lineage: Eukaryota; Metazoa; Chordata; Mammalia; Rodentia; Sciuridae.